UAGAUCAUGUUCAAAAUGUAUUAUGGCCUCAAGGGAUUUUAAUAUGACAGAUUACAUGGACGCAAGUAAUUAAGAUAUGUAGCAGUAGUACUACUACUGACUGCAUAAUGAAGACUUAAAUUUCCAACAAAUAGAAUGGUAGUGGGUAUAUUGCCAUGGCAAGUGAUGCCUUUGGAAACUGGAGGCAUGUGUUGCUUGCAUCAAUGUGAUAACCUCAAGGACAGAGUUGUGAGGUAAAGGGCAUCAUUUAGCACAAACUACAACAAGGGUUUACUAAACAGUAGUUAAUGUUGUUUGUGAACUGUGUCUUAUCUCUCUCUCUCUCUCUUUCUCUCUUUGCUCUUUGGUCUUAAAGAAAGCUGGUUCUGAGAAGGAGUGAUAAGACUCGUUGGAAAACGAAACAAAUCCGUAAGUUAUGAUUUUGAUGUUGGCCUUGGAACUUAUUCCAACUCGAGAAGGAGGAGACUUUGUCACCUCUUCAUUGGUCUCACCGGAAUAUAGCUCACCCCUUCCCCCUCUCUUUCCCGACUAAGAAUCCAAGAUGUGCUGUGAGCAUCCAUGUUAUUGGAAGGCCGUGAAGACUAAGGAACAGUAACUCCAUCACUUUGUCCACAAACAUCUCCUGAGGUGGCCCUACACAGCUUCAGGUAGCAGGGAAUUUGCAUGCUGUACUCAGCUAAAGGCUUCGCCAAAGGCAAAGCAAAGAUGUCAUGUGUGCUUUGCAGAAUAUUCUCUCUUUGGAGCUCCUUUUCCUUGCUCUUUCUUGUGUCUUCACUUCCAGUUGGCUGCCAAGUUGCAAGCGUUAGUGCAGGAAACCAAGCUAUUAUUUGGUCUAGAAGGAUUCCCAUCAGCUAAGCCUUCUGUUUGGUAAUAAUCACUUCGAGCUUUCAGCAAGAGGAAUCUUUUGUUGGAGCUGCAAGCCAAGCCAGAAUGAUAGUUUUGAGCGAGGAAUUCAUGCGUCAUUCAAAUGAUAUGCUGCUUCCAAGUGAAAAGAAAAGCUGUGUUGUAAACAUCUUUACUUUCACUAUUACUAAUCUACUUUUCUAGAACUAUAGGUUAGGCAGGAAGAGUAGCGAACCAAAGAUGGUUCGGCAUCGCUGUCUCUUUCACGUGUACAGUAUCAACUGUGUUCUUCUUACAUGGCUUCCUCUUCUCUACAAAGAUCCACCAACAAAGAUAAUCGCUGUCAUCUAGCAGCAUGAUCUCGACAGAGCCAUCGAAUUCAUCAUCUGAUUCGAGAACAAGAUCCCUGGAACCAGAAGCUUUUUCCUGCGCACAACUGGACCACAGGAUCACAUUCCCCUUGACAGUAGUCAGAUGUCAAAUUGGGUGAUGGCUUCCACAGGGGAAUGGAGCAUCAAACUCCCAUGCAUCUCAUCCCACCUAAGAAGUGAGGCAGCUGGUUCGAGCUUCUGGGAAGCCUCCAAGAGAGAUUAUCCCAUGUGGUGCAACGUUUGAUGCUUAUCUACCUUCCACACCUUGCCCUCAUGCAUGGUUGCUUGCUUGACCUGCUCCCUGAGGUCUGUGGGUGUCCUUGUUCAACAAGCAUUGCUAAAGUGAAACCAAUACGGAUUUGAUCUUCUUGCUUUAGGUCAUGUCAUAUGCUGUAGAUGAUCAUGCGUGAACUUGCAGAUCACUUUGCUUCUUUUUCGGUUCUAGUAGCGGAAACUUUUUCUAGAUAGCCAAAAGUGUAGGCUUUUGGAAUUAGUGUUUGCUUGGUG
Molecule: long non-coding RNA, 1721 nt
Filed under: Musa acuminata (dwarf banana)
Lineage: Eukaryota; Viridiplantae; Streptophyta; Magnoliopsida; Zingiberales; Musaceae
Description: long non-coding RNA (MACU_LNC000877)
Source: RNAcentral